RNAcentral lists this ribosomal RNA (330 nucleotides) under uncultured eukaryote. RNAcentral's name for it is "partial 18S ribosomal RNA". It matches the Rfam family "Eukaryotic small subunit ribosomal RNA", at positions 1470 to 1796 of the family's 1831-position model. The record is from RNAcentral.
CCCUUAGAUGUUCUGGGCCGCACGCGCGCUACACUGAUGCAUUCAACGAGUCUAAAACCUGGUCUGAUAGGGCUGGGUAAUCUUUUGAAUGUGCAUCGUGAUUGGGAUAGAUGAUUGCAAUUCUUCAUCAUCAACGAGGAAUGCCUAGUAAACGCAAGUCAUCAGCUUGCAUUGAUUACGUCCCUGCCCUUUGUACACACCGCCCGUCGCUCCUACCGAUUGAAUGUUCCGAUGAAUACCAUGGACUGAGAGUAUGAAUGGGUUCGCCUAUUUCUGCUUCUCGGGAAGUGGAGUAAAUCUUAACAUUUAGAGGAAGGAGAAGUCGUAACA